GCCGAAUCAAAAAAAGGAAAUAGAACCUAGCCUUGAGGAAAGGUUUCUAAAUUCCAAGACAUUUCUACACCUCAGUAAAUACUUAUUAAACUCUUCAAACAAGAGGAUGCUGAGAACUACACAAGAAAACCCUAGUUGUAAGAGAAAGAGAGGAAAGUGAGUUUUAUUUUUAGUGAUCAAUCUUAAGAUAAUAUCUCUUGAACCCUCACGAACCUAAACUUAGACUUUUGGACCUCUUAGCGCACCACUGUAUUACAACUCCUCCAACAUCUCUACUGAUCAAA
Molecule: unclassified non-coding RNA, 284 nt
Filed under: Hevea brasiliensis (rubber tree)
Lineage: Eukaryota; Viridiplantae; Streptophyta; Magnoliopsida; Malpighiales; Euphorbiaceae
Source: RNAcentral